Molecule: long non-coding RNA, 2190 nt
Organism: Hemicordylus capensis (graceful crag lizard)
Lineage: Eukaryota; Metazoa; Chordata; Lepidosauria; Squamata; Cordylidae
Exons: 4
Source: RefSeq, a predicted model, not a curated record
GGUGAACCUCCCAAAGCGGUUUAAAAAAACUUGAAUAAAGAACAGAAAAUCAUGCCACAGAUUUACAUCAGAGGAAGAUGGCCCCUGGUCACUCUCUGUGGUGGCAGUUGGGAAAGGAACAUUCCCUUCCACCUCAAUAUCAGCCUCAAAGACAACACAGGAAAUAAUAUACUGCUGUUCUUGCCAUGCAUGGGACCUCAGUUGGAGUAUGGUGGGGAUUUGAAGAGUAGAGGUAAUUAUAUGACCUGGCAAAAGUCAUAUAAUGAGGAAGAAUGAGUUGGGUAUAUGCAGCAGGAACAAACAACAUUUAAAAAGUAUAUUUGAAAAGCACGAUGAGGAGACACAAUUCUUCUCCCUCUGAGGCAGCUACCAGCACCUGGGAAGAACACAUGCUCAGGCAGGAGGAAGAGGCUUUCAGGCAUGCGUCCAGGACUCAGGGGUACAGCAAGGAGGAGCACUAGCUCUGAGGAGCUGCAGCCACUGACUCUCAGAGCAACUGGUGCGGCAUUACUGUUCUCUUGACUGCCACAGCAGGGAUCCCUGGUACGAACAUUUAAGAUGCCCCCCCCCCUUGUAAACUCAAAGAACUUGGGGGGAAACUCAUUCCGGAUUCAGGUAAAUACAGUACUUCACCACCCUCAUGGAAACCUGAUAAUCCUCCUCCCUGAUCAAUCUAUGGUUUCCCACAGGCCUCAAAGGGGAUAAGAAAGUUAGCUAUCACAUAUGUUCCUCUUCAUCUCCUCUGGCUUUAAGAGAUGCUCAAGAUAGCCUUCCUCCCAGCUUUUCCUUUCUCCUGACACUAAUAGGCAGUUAUCCACAUUGUAUCUAUUUCCAUAGAUGUGAAGUAACCAGCUGAGAAAAUUUUCCAGUGUUGCUCCUUAGAAGGAACCUGGAAGUACCAUUAUGAGUCUCUGUUUCUCAUGGGGGGAACCCUGAAAUUCUGUGGGGGGUUUUACUUUGCAGAAAUUUUUGUUCCACCCAUACCUAUUUAAUAUUCCAUCCCCAUCAUACGUAACCCCUUUCUCAAGAGGUAGUCUUUUGCUUCUGAUCAUGCUAUGAUCUCCAAUUAUAGCUCAGAGUACACUUGUAAGGCCUGUAGCCUCAUGCUUUUCUCCUCCUCAGUCAGCUGCUGGGAAGACACAGCCACCUAAUUCCUCUACUUCUACUUUGUCCUUUUUGUGCCUCCCAGCACUCCCCCUCCCAUUUCUCUUACUCUCCUUCCUCAGGACAGAGCCCAUUCCUGUUUCCUAUGGUUUUGAUGUGGUGGGAAUACUCCUGACACCACACAUCAGGGGAGUAGCUACAAUUGCUAAAUGGGCAAAGAGGCACCUUUUUAAUGUGGCGAUUCUCUUUAUUUAGCAGGAGGAGAGUAACUGGCCCCCUCCACCCCCAGCACAGUCCCUCCAGUGACUUGCUGGUGUCUAUCUUAUGUUUCUUUUUAGAUUGUGAGCCCUUUGGGGACAGGGAUCCAUCUUAUUUAUUUGUUAUUUCUCUGUGUAAACCGCCCUGAGCCAUUUUUGGAAGGGCGGUAUAGAAUAAAUAAAAUAAUAAUAAUUGUAAUAAUUGAACAUGGCAAGGAGUUGUCCCUUGGCCCAGCUGGGUGACAGCUUGUCUUUUGAUCUCCCCCUCAUACCUCAGUUCACUUUUGCCCCCUUGAUAUGCCCCACUCUCCAAGUGGCUUGAAUAAAACGAAAUACAACAGCAAAUAAAAUGCACAAACACAAUUGCAACAGGAUAAUGCCAGUAUGGCAUUCCAAUGUCAGCUAAAACAAUCAACCAGGAACUUUGCCUGACCCAGUAAAAUAUCUUCUAAACAAGGAAGAGGUGUAGAGGCCUGGGAGAGCACUGGCCUGAAACAAUUCACUGAGAAAGAAUUUCUAUAGGGUGGGUGCCACCAAUGAGAAGGCCUUCAGUCUACCACAAUUCAGUUUCUGAGGGGCAUCCAGAGCCCAUCCUCUUUGUAUUCAGAGGAACAUAUGGGAGGAGAUAUUUAUUCAUGUAUUCUUCACAUAGCAUGUCAGCCUCUAGCGUACAAAUAUAGGGCAGAUAUGGAGGGUUCCGUUCAGGUGAAAUAUAUCAGAAUUUCUAGGGAAGCUGUUAUUAUUGCUUGCAAAUUAAUUAUAAUAGAUGUUUUCAUGAUUUCUCUGUCUUGUUUUUCUUACAAUAGGCACAUUCACAAGUUUACUCAAA